Molecule: ribosomal RNA, 459 nt
Filed under: uncultured bacterium
Lineage: Bacteria
Description: partial 16S ribosomal RNA
Rfam family: Bacterial small subunit ribosomal RNA
Source: RNAcentral
CCUACGGGAGGCAGCAGUGAGGAAUAUUGGUCAAUGGGCGGGAGCCUGAACCAGCCAAGUCGCGUGAAGGAAGAAGGUACUUAGUAUUGUAAACUUCUUUUGUCAAGGGACAAAAUCAGGCUCGAGAGCCUGACCGAGGGUACUUGAAGAAAAAGCAUCGGCUAACUCCGUGCCAGCAGCCGCGGUAAUACGGAGGAUGCGAGCGUUAUCCGGAUUUAUUGGGUUUAAAGGGUGCGUAGGCGGACUGUUAAGUCAGCGGUAAAAGCCCGGGGCUCAACCCCGGCGAGCCGUUGAAACUGGCUGUCUUGAGAUGUCGAGAGGUAUGCGGAAUGCGCAGUGUAGCGGUGAAAUGCUUAGAUAUUGCGCAGAACUCCGAUUGCGAAGGCAGCAUACCGGCGGCGAUCUGACGCUGAGGCACGAAAGCGUGGGUAUCGAACAGGAUUAGAUACCCGGGUAGUC